GUCCACGCCCUAAACGAUGUAUACUAGUUGUUGGGGAAUUCGUUCCUUAGUAACGCAGCUAACGCGUGAAGUAGACCGCCUGGGGAGUACGGCCGCAAGGCUAAAACUCAAAGGAAUUGACGGGGCCCGCACAAGCGGUGGAUGAUGUGGAUUAAUUCGAUGCAACGCGAAAACCUUACCUAGCCUUGACAUGUCAAGAAUCCCUGAGAGAUUGGGGAGUGCCGCAAGGAACUUGAACACAGGUGCUGCAUGGCUGUCGU
RNAcentral lists this ribosomal RNA (260 nucleotides) under uncultured bacterium. RNAcentral describes it as "partial 16S ribosomal RNA". It matches the Rfam family "Bacterial small subunit ribosomal RNA", at positions 793 to 1055 of the family's 1533-position model. The record is from RNAcentral.